GAGUUUGAUCCUGGCUCAGAUUGAACGCUGGCGGCAUGCCUUACACAUGCAAGUCGAACGGCAGCACGGGAGCUUGCUCCUGGUGGCGAGUGGCGAACGGGUGAGUAAUGCAUCGGAACGUAUCCUGGAGUGGGGGAUAACGUAGCGAAAGUUACGCUAAUACCGCAUAUUCUGUGAGCAGGAAAGCGGGGGACCUUCGGGCCUCGCGCUCUUGGAGCGGCCGAUGUCGGAUUAGCUAGUUGGUGAGGUAAAGGCUCACCAAGGCGACGAUCCGUAGCAGGUCUGAGAGGAUGAUCUGCCACACUGGAACUGAGACACGGUCCAGACUCCCACGGGAGGCAGCAGUGGGAAUUUUGGACAAUGGGGGCAACCCUGAUCCAGCCAUGCCGCGUGAGUGAAGAAGGCCUCGGUUGUAAGUACGUACUUUCGUCGUAC
Molecule: ribosomal RNA, 435 nt
Filed under: bacterium enrichment culture clone ALO1_GLFRUDD03FY0R4
Lineage: Bacteria
Description: bacterial SSU rRNA
Rfam family: Bacterial small subunit ribosomal RNA
Source: RNAcentral